UACGGGGGGGGCAAGCGUUGUUCGGAAUUACUGGGCGUAAAGGGCUUGUAGGUGGCCAACUAAGUCAGACGUGAAAUCCCUCGGCUUAACCGGGGAACUGCGUCUGAUACUGGAUGGCUCGAGUUUGGGAGAGGGAUGCGGAAUUCCAGGUGUAGCGGUGAAAUUCGUAGAUAUCGGGAGGAACACCAGUGGCGAAGGCGGCGAUCUGGGAAGAUACUGACGCUGAGGUGCGAAAGCGUGGGGAGCAAACAGG
This 253-nucleotide ribosomal RNA is filed under the name uncultured bacterium. RNAcentral's name for it is "partial 16S ribosomal RNA". It matches the Rfam family "Bacterial small subunit ribosomal RNA", at positions 524 to 776 of the family's 1533-position model. The record is from RNAcentral.